RNAcentral lists this ribosomal RNA (419 nucleotides) under bacterium. RNAcentral's name for it is "partial 16S ribosomal RNA". It matches the Rfam family "Bacterial small subunit ribosomal RNA", at positions 355 to 776 of the family's 1533-position model. The record is from RNAcentral.
UGGGGGAUAUUGCACAAUGGGCGAAAGCCUGAUGCAGCGACGCCGCGUGGGGGAUGAAGGCCUUCGGGUUGUAAACUUCUUUUGCUCUGAACAAGGCGCACCAUGGGGUGUGUUGAGUGUAGGGGUUGAUUAGCGCCGGCUAACUACGUGCCAGCAGCCGCGGUAAUACGUAGGGCGCGAGCGUUGUCCGGACUUAUUGGGCGUAAAGGGCUUGUAGGUGGCUGGUUGCGUAUGUCGUGAAAGCUCAUGGCUUAACUGUGGGUUUGCUGUGGGUACGGGCUGGCUUGAGUGCAGUAGGGGAGGCUGGAAUUCCUGUUGUAGCGGUGGAAUGCGCAGAUAUCAGGAGGAAUACCGGUGGCGAAGGCGGGUCUCUGGGCUGUUACUGACACUGAGGAGCGAAAGCAUGGGGAGCGAACAGG